This 916-nucleotide long non-coding RNA is filed under the name Phoenix dactylifera (date palm). RNAcentral describes it as "long non-coding RNA (PDAC_LNC017065)". The record is from RNAcentral. Lineage: Eukaryota; Viridiplantae; Streptophyta; Magnoliopsida; Arecales; Arecaceae.
UAUAUGUUCUUCAAGCCAAACUAGAUUUCUUAUGUGUGAACUUUUGGCUGAAGAAGAUCCUCUCUCUUGUUUGCAUGUGAAUCUUUAGUGUAUCUUACAUGAAGAUAUCCUUCAAAUUGAAAUUUCUCAUUUUUCUUUCUUGAAGGAAGGUCAUUAGUUUCUUUAAGAUACAAAGCAUUCAUCCAACAUAUAUAUUUUUAACUAGAUGACUUAAUAUAAGAUAUGACAAUAGUUGCAUGUUGAGUCACUUUAUUCAAGAGAUUGCCUAAAUAUAAGCAAGCACAUAUCACUUGAACUAAAGAGAUAGAUUCAUUAACCAAGAUAGUUCAAGGACAAGCAUGUGAGGCAAUAGACAGAUUUAUCAAGGUCAAAUCAAUUUAUUUUAGAUUCUAUUUGCUUAAGAUAAUUAUCAAUAAGAUGUGUUAACUAAGUUUUAAUCAACUAAUCUUAAACGUUUGUUUCUAUCAAAAUUCAGAUUAUGACGUAUUUGUUAUCAAUAAAAUAUGAUUAAUUAAAGUUAGAUUGAAGUCUUGCACAAGGUCACAUAAUGAGCAUACAAUCUGGUCUACUAGCUAUAUGAUAAAAUAAUUAUUCUAUCAUGCUUUAAUACAGCUUUAAACAAUAGAUCUACUUUGCUCAUCCUUUACAAUUUCUACAAGAUGGGGUCAUAGAUAUACCUUCUUCACGCCAAUCUUCUAUAAGAGUUUUCUUGUGGACUAACGUUGGUCAAUGAAGAUCCCCUUUCCUGUUUGUCUUAAUUUGGAGUUUGAGAGAAGAUGUUAAUUCAUUCAUCAUAUUUCAAACUCACCUUGCAAUAUAACUAUUCAUAUAGAUUUUCAUUGGUAGAACAAAAAUGAUGCCAUCAAUGUGUGCUAUGAGCAAGCAAGAUAUCAUAGACUCUUCUUUUUGAUGCAUA